CCUACGGGUGGCUGCAGUGGGGAAUAUUGGACAAUGGGGGGAACCCUGAUCCAGCCAUGCCGCGUGUGUGAAGAAGGCCCUCGGGUUGUAAAGCACUUUCAGUGAGGAAGAACGCCUGGUGGUUAAUACCCAUCAGGAAAGACAUCACUCACAGAAGAAGCACCGGCUAACUCCGUGCCAGCAGCCGCGGUAAUACGGAGGGUGCGAGCGUUAAUCGGAAUUACUGGGCGUAAAGCGCGCGUAGGUGGCUUGAUAAGCCGGUUGUGAAAGCCCCGGGCUCAACCUGGGAACGGCAUCCGGAACUGUCAAGCUAGAGUGCAGGAGAGGAAGGUAGAAUUCCCGGUGUAGCGGUGAAAUGCGUAGAGAUCGGGAGGAACACCAGUGGCGAAGGCGGCCUUCUGGACUGACACUGACACUGAGGUGCGAAAGCGUGGGUAGCAAACAGGAUUAGAUACCCCAGUAGUC
RNAcentral lists this ribosomal RNA (465 nucleotides) under Vreelandella stevensii. RNAcentral's name for it is "partial 16S ribosomal RNA". It matches the Rfam family "Bacterial small subunit ribosomal RNA", at positions 338 to 795 of the family's 1533-position model. Lineage: Bacteria; Pseudomonadati; Pseudomonadota; Gammaproteobacteria; Oceanospirillales; Halomonadaceae. The record is from RNAcentral.